GAUAAAUUAAUUAUAGGCCAUUACUUUUGUAUCGUUUAUUGCAUUUAUGGAGGGAGAGGUGUAUGCUGGGUAAUGGCACAGCUAGCGACACGGUGACUUUAUUCACCCGCUUCGGCUGUUAUCAGUCCAUACAAUGGGCGUUAUUAGCAGAAAUCAGUCCCAUAGAUAUGGGCCAUCUCCACCUGCUAGAUUGUUCAGAAGGUUGUUAUCAUCCAUCCAGAUGGAGGAUCAGUAACAGGAACGUGGGAAGACUCCAGGAUCCACUCUGGCUGGAAUCCGGUGGAUACAGCAGUGUUACAGAACAGUUCUCCACAGUCACUGUCCACAUGGGUCAGUGGGACCAAGAAGCACUCUGCUAAUGUGAGACUCUGACCAGCAACAUCCAGCAAGACCCAGGCAGUGUUUUCUAUCUCCCAGCUGGAGUUUUUUUGUUUGUCUGUGACUGGAGAGUCAGAUUUUUGUUGAGGCUGGAGGAACAGCCUCACACUUGCAGAGGUUAAUACACGCUACUGAUCCCUGAUGGGAGAAUCAUCACCUCUGCCAACAAAGAAGCCUGGUGGAUGUUUGUUUACAGUCUGAUGAUGGGACAUCAUGCUCUGCAUCUUCAAAUCUUUUUGCAGGAUCAGAAAACAAAACCAGGAGGCCUGUAAAUGUUUCUUCUCCAAUUGGAUGAUGAUAAGACUGUGACACGGGAUGCCACCUUUAGUCUUGUGAUGAAGCAAAGCUCAGGAAGAAGUGUGAUUAAAUGGUACCCACAUGUGUGCUGCUGAGAAGGAUGUACAGGGGCACCUGCAGCCAAAUCCAAGCCUCCUCAGCAACUUCAAGUCUGUCAGCGUGCUGAGGUCACAGAAACAAGAAAAGCAGCUUCAGACUUCAGAGUGUUGUUUACAGUUUUCUGUCAUCAUGAUCUCCCCUGAAGUUUAUCACUAUUAUACAAGCAAUGGUGACGGUGUGGAGAGACGGUGGUGUUUCCUCAGAAGAACCAGCAGAGUCACAAAGGGCACGAGUCCAUCUCACCACCUUGACUUACUGACAGAUGUUCGUCUGCACUGCACAGAGGAAAUCAACUAACCGAGGAGUGUUUCUGAGUGAGGGAGAGAGGAGUCAUCAUCCAGAUGGGCAGGAUAUCAGUCUUGGACUGUCUAACCUGCCGGAGCAGCACUGAAUGAUCACCACACAUGAGCAUGUUCCUGCAACAUUCAGCAUCUGAUCUGCCAUCUGUGUGCUUCUGCUUUUGAUAAGUAGAGCUAUCUAACUACAGUAACUCUAAACACAUGCCAUCCAUUUCUAACGGCCUGGUUACUUCCUGUCAGUUAUUUUAGAAACCAUGUGGUCACCUGACCUAACACUGUUUCUUCUUCUUCCCCUUAAUGUUGAAGUGUCAAAUGUCAACCAGCUGGAGAGGAAACUACACCAGUGUACUGGGAUGUUUCAGCAACACGUGCCAGAUGCUGUUCCUUCAUGGUUUCAUCACCAGAGACAGCCCCGCCCACCUCAGGACCUCGCCAUUGAUCAUGAUGAUUAUAAUAAUGACAGCGAGCGGAACUAAGACUGUAAAAAUCCACGACCAGAAUGUUUAGAUGCUUUCUAAUUAUUAAUGAAUACUGAGAGCCUCUUUCUGUGUUUUGUCUGUUUUGUUUUGGUUUUUUUACCUCAUUUGUUACUAACAAAGUUCACCAAACUCACACAGUUUACAUUCUGUAUGUUUCCAUCUUUACCAGCCACACUCUUAACUGCAAUUAAGCAAAUAAUCCUUAGAAAUCGUCGUUUUUCUCUUUUGUAAUUGAUGAUAAUUCAGUGAAUAUACUGCGCUGCUUCCUUUUAUUGCGUCACACAUUGCUUUAAGUUUUUCAGUGUCCAGUUAUUUUUUUACUGCUGUUUGAAUUCUCUGUAUGUUUGACCCUGUAGACUGUUUAAUGGACUGCUUGUCUUCCUGUUUGUAACCACUGCCUGUUUUUGACUAAAGAUUUGGAUUUCUGACUUUAACACAGCCUCUGCGUGUCCUCCCUUUGUGUCCU
Molecule: long non-coding RNA, 2018 nt
Organism: Oreochromis aureus
Lineage: Eukaryota; Metazoa; Chordata; Actinopteri; Cichliformes; Cichlidae
Source: Ensembl